AACAGGGAUUGCCCUAGUAACGGCGAGUGAAGCGGCAACAGCUCAAAUUUGAAAUCUGGCCUCGGCCCGAGUUGUAAUUUGCAGAGGAUGUUUCUGGCGCGGUGCCUUCCGAGUUCCCUGGAACGGGACGCCACAGAGGGUGAGAGCCCCGUAUGGUUGGACACCAAGCCUGUGUGAAACUCCUUCGACGAGUCGAGUAGUUUGGGAAUGCUGCUCAAAAUGGGAGGUAAAUCUCUUCUAAAGCUAAAUACCGGCCAGAGACCGAUAGCGCACAAGUAGAGUGAUCGAAAGAUGAAAAGCACCUUGAAAAGGGGGUUAAACAGUACGUGAAAUUGUUGAAAGGGAAGCGCUUGUGACCAGACUUGCGCCGGGCGGUUCAUCCGGGGUUCUCCCCGGUGCACUCCGCCCGGCUCAGGCCAGCAUCGGUUCUCGUUGGGGGAUAAGAACGACAGGAACGUGGCCCUCCUUCGGGUGGGUGUUAUAGCCUGUCGUACGAUACCCUGACGGGGACCGAGGUUCGCGCUCCGCAAGGAUGCUGGCGUAAUGGUCAUCAGCGACCCGUCUUGAAACACGGACCAAGGAGUCGUCCAUUAGAGCGAGCGUUUGGGUGUCAAACCCGCACGCGUAAUGAAAGUGAAAUUAGGUGAGAGCUUCGGCGCAUCAUCGACCGAUCCUGAUGUUCUCGGAUGGAUUUGAGUAAGAGUUUUAACGGACGGACCCGAAAGACAGUGAACUAUGCUUGUAUAGGGUGAAGCCAGAGGAAACUCUGGUGGAGGCUCGCAGCGGUUCUGACGUGCAAAUCGAUCGUCAAAUAUGAGCAUGGGGGCGAAAGACUAAUCGAACUGUCUAGUAGCUGGUUACCGCCGAAGUUUCCCUCAGGAUAGCAGUGUUGACCUUCAGUUUUAUGAGGUAAAGCGAAUGAUUAGGGACUCGGGGGCGCUUUUUAGCCUUCAUCCAUUCUCAAACUUUAAAUAUGUAAGAAGCCCUUGUUACUUAGUUGAACGUGGGCAUUCGAAUGUAUCAACACUAGUGGGCCAUUUUUGGUAAGCAGAACUGGCGAUGCGGGAUGAACCGAACGCGGGGUUAAGGCGCCAGAGUGUACGCUCAUCAGACACCACAAAAGGCGUUAGUACAUCUUGACAGCAGGACGGUGGCCAUGGAAGUCGGAAUCCGCUAAGGACUGUGUAACAACUCACCUGCCGAAUGUACUAGCCCUGAAAAUGGAUGGCGCUCAAGCGUACCGCCCAUACCCCGCCCUCAGGGUAGAAACGAUGCCCUGAGGAGUAGGCGGCCGUGGAGGUCAGUGACGAAGCCUA
Molecule: ribosomal RNA, 1316 nt
Filed under: Celoporthe dispersa
Lineage: Eukaryota; Fungi; Ascomycota; Sordariomycetes; Diaporthales; Cryphonectriaceae
Description: eukaryotic LSU rRNA
Rfam family: Eukaryotic large subunit ribosomal RNA
Source: RNAcentral